Molecule: transfer RNA, 72 nt
Filed under: Camelus bactrianus (Bactrian camel)
Lineage: Eukaryota; Metazoa; Chordata; Mammalia; Artiodactyla; Camelidae
Also listed under: 2 other names
Rfam family: tRNA
About the family: Transfer RNA (tRNA) molecules are approximately 80 nucleotides in length. Their secondary structure includes four short double-helical elements and three loops (D, anti-codon, and T loops). Further hydrogen bonds mediate the characteristic L-shaped molecular structure. tRNAs have two regions of fundamental functional importance: the anti-codon, which is responsible for specific mRNA codon recognition, and the 3' end, to which the tRNAs corresponding amino acid is attached (by aminoacyl-tRNA synthetases). tRNAs cope with the degeneracy of the genetic code in two manners: having more than one tRNA (with a specific anti-codon) for a particular amino acid; and 'wobble' base-pairing, i.e. permitting non-standard base-pairing at the 3rd anti-codon position.
Source: Rfam by way of RNAcentral
GAGGGCAUAGCUCAGUGGUAGAGCACGUGCUUAGCAUGCACGAGGCCCUGGGUUCAAUCCCCAGCACCUCCU